RNAcentral lists this ribosomal RNA (460 nucleotides) under uncultured bacterium. RNAcentral describes it as "partial 16S ribosomal RNA". It matches the Rfam family "Bacterial small subunit ribosomal RNA", at positions 338 to 795 of the family's 1533-position model. The record is from RNAcentral.
CCUACGGGAGGCAGCAGUGAGGAAUAUUGGUCAAUGGCCGGAAGGCUGAACCAGCCAUGCCGCGUGAAGGUCAGUGCCCUAUGGGCGUUAAACUUCUUUUGUGCGGGAGCAAUAAUGGUCACGUGUGGCCAGACGAGAGUACCGUACGAAUAAGCAUCGGCUAACUCCGUGCCAGCAGCCGCGGGAAUACGGGGGAUGCAAGCGUUAUCCGGAGUUAUUGGGGUUAAAGGGUGCGUAGGCUGUGAGGUAAGUCGGCGGUGAAAUGCCCCCGCUCAAAGGGGUGAAGUGCCAUUGAUACUGCCUUGCUGGAAUGCGGAUGCCGUGGGAGGAAUGUGUGGUGUAGCGGUGAAAUGCAUAGAUAUCACACAGAACACCGAUUGCGAAGGCAUCUCACGAAUCCGCGAUUGACGCUGAUGCACGAAAGCGUGGGUAUCAAACAGGAUUAGAUACCCCUGUAGUC